AGAGUUUGAUCAUGGCUCAGAUUGAACGCUGGCGGAAUGCUUUACACAUGCAAGUCGAACGAUGAACCUUAGCUUGCUAAGGGGAUUAGUGGCGAACGGGUGAGUAAUAUAUCGGAACGUGCCUUGUAAUGGGGGAUAACUAGUCGAAAGAUUAGCUAAUACCGCAUACGCCCUGAGGGGGAAAGUAGGGGAUCUUCGGACCUUACGUUAUAAGAGCGGCCGAUAUCUGAUUAGCUAGUUGGUGGGGUAAUGGCCUACCAAGGCUUCGAUCAGUAGCUGGUCUGAGAGGACGACCAGCCACACUGGAACUGAGACACGGUCCAGACUCCUACGGGAGGCAGCAGUGGGGAAUUUUGGACAAUGGGCGAAAGCCUGAUCCAGCCAUUCCGCGUGAGUGAAGAAGGCCUUCGGGUUGUAAAGCUCUUUCGCAAGGGAAGAAAACUUACACAAUAACACUGUGUGAGGCUGACGGUACCUUGAUAAGUAGCACCGGCUAACUACGUGCCAGCAGCCGCGGUAAUACGUAGGGUGCGAGCGUUAAUCGGAAUUACUGGGCGUAAAGCGUGCGCAGGCGGUUUGGCAAGUCAGAUGUGAAAUCCCCGAGCUCAACUUGGGAACUGCGUUUGAAACUGCCAGACUAGAAUAUGUCAGAGGGGGGUAGAAUUCCACGUGUAGCAGUGAAAUGCGUAGAGAUGUGGAGGAAUACCAAUGGCGAAGGCAGCCCCCUGGGAUAAUAUUGACGCUCAUGCACGAAAGCGUGGGGAGCAAACAGGAUUAGAUACCCUGGUAGUCCACGCCCUAAACGAUGUCUACUAGUUGUUGGUGGAGUAAAAUCCAUGAGUAACGCAGCUAACGCGUGAAGUAGACCGCCUGGGGAGUACGGUCGCAAGAUUAAAACUCAAAGGAAUCGACGGGGGCCCGCACAAGCGGUGGAUUAUGUGGAUUAAUUCGAUGCAACGCGAAAAACCUUACCUGGGCCUUGACAUGCCACUAACGAAGCAGAGAUGCAUUAGUGCCCGUAAGGGAAAGUGACACAGUGCUGCAUGGCUGUCGUCAGCUCGUGUCGUGAGAUGUUGGGUUAAGUCCCGCAACGAGCGCAACCUUGC
Molecule: ribosomal RNA, 1106 nt
Filed under: uncultured Methylophilus sp.
Lineage: Bacteria; Pseudomonadati; Pseudomonadota; Betaproteobacteria; Nitrosomonadales; Methylophilaceae
Description: bacterial SSU rRNA
Rfam family: Bacterial small subunit ribosomal RNA
Source: RNAcentral